Molecule: long non-coding RNA, 1592 nt
Organism: Taeniopygia guttata (zebra finch)
Lineage: Eukaryota; Metazoa; Chordata; Aves; Passeriformes; Estrildidae
Source: RefSeq, a predicted model, not a curated record
CUCAAUUGCUUUUGAAAAUUCAGAUGCAUGCAGAUAUAAAACAACUGGAUUGAAAGACAAAAAUCCAAGCACUGCUACUUGGCCAAAUCAUUGUGUGCUAAAGGGAGCCUGGGUCUCCAGACAAGGGUCUCCAAGCUGGAUUCUAAAACAACUUUUUUGUCUGGAUCUGAUAUCAUUAUCUCCAUCAAAACAAGACCCAGAACAAGACUGAGGCCUCCCUUCAGUUGAGGGCUGCACUAUUUGAAUAGCAUUUGGAGGUUUUGGCUGCAAUGAAAGAAGCAUGGAUGUCUUUGAUUGGGGUGUAUUUCUUAAAUCUCUUAAACAAUUCUCCAUUUCCCUAAAGAAGACUUCCCUAUUGGAGUUUUCACUGUGCCAAUAAAAUAAGGGCUGCUUGAGCUUAAGUAGGCUACAGUGCUUCUUGAGGGUAACACUAAGGCCUUAGCUCAAUAUUUGAUUUUCCAAUUUAUUAGUCUGUUGCAUUUCUUCCUAAACUGGAAGUGCUUGCUUCCAAUGCAUGGAACUUAAAUGAUUCUUUUCAGAAUUAUUUUUAAAGUAGUACCAGGGGACGUUUAGAUUGGAUAACAGGAAAGAUUUCCUCACAGAAAUGGUUGCCAAGCCUCGGAGCAGGCUGCUGUGGCUGAGUCACUAGCCUGGAGGUACUUAUAAGAUUUGUAGAUGUGGCAUUUAGGCGUGUGAUUUGGUGGUGGAAUUGGCAAUAUUAGGUUUAUAGUUGGACUGAAGGUCUUUUUUUUCCUAGCCUAAAUGAUUCUAUGAUACAAAGUGCAUGACCAUAAUGUUAAGACCAAUUAACUCUAAGUGUAAUUAGCUGCUUUUCCAGCAUGGCUUGCCACUUCAACGGUUUGUGUGAUUAUUGAAGAAUUGCUGCUAAGGACAAACUAAUCCUCAAGAAUGGGUGUCAUGCCACUGAGGCAGCUGGCUAUAAUCCCUUUAUAGUCACUGGUAGAAAAAAAAAACAGCUGAAAAAUGGGAUUUGCCUGAUCCUUACAGGCACACCCACUUUAGGAUGAAAUAAUCAAUUCCUUAGAAACACAUAUAUUGUUUCUUUGGCUGUUAAAGAAAUUAAAGUGACUGUCCAAAAUUGCUACCUAUUAUAUCUACAUUGUAGGUGCAAAACAGUUUGACACAAUUGUAGAAAUAGUGCUUGUCUGGAAUGCCUGUCUGAUUAAACUUCAUUAGGAAAAUAGUUAGUUAUUAAAAACAUGCAUAGAUAUAUCCUGUAUGAUUAGUCUGACCUCUUUUUUACCAUGUUGAUAGUCCUAGUAGAUUGUUUCUAUAUACAAAGCAAUUAAUGUGCAGCUAGUAAUUGCUACCUAUCAGCAUGCUUUAAGACUUAAGCACUAGCAUUUAGAAAUAAGUUGUACUUUUGCCUUUUCUGUUCCUCUGAAGUUUCCCAUGCUGGUCUAGUUUAUCAUAUGCACUUACAAUUCUAUAAUGAAAACUUGUUCAAAGGAUACAUCUUUGUGCUUCCUUUUGAUAGCAAUGUUAAAAUAGUUUUAAAGCAAAACUCAAUAAAUAGUCCAAUAUUAUUACUAGUUUCUACAUAAAAUUUACAAUUAAAGCACUUACUUGUU